This 228-nucleotide unclassified non-coding RNA is filed under the name uncultured Actinomycetes bacterium. RNAcentral's name for it is "uncultured actinobacterium contains 16S-23S intergenic spacer region". It matches the Rfam family "Bacterial small subunit ribosomal RNA", at positions 976 to 1201 of the family's 1533-position model. The record is from RNAcentral. Lineage: Bacteria; Bacillati; Actinomycetota; Actinomycetes.
UGGGUUUGACAUAUACCGGAAACGUCUGGAGACAGGCGCCCCCUUGUGGUCGGUGUACAGGUGGUGCAUGGCUGUCGUCAGCUCGUGUCGUGAGAUGUUGGGUUAAGUCCCGCAACGAGCGCAACCCUUGUUCUGUGUUGCCAGCAUGCCUUUCGGGGUGAUGGGGACUCACAGGAGACUGCCGGGGUCAACUCGGAGGAAGGUGGGGAUGACGUCUCCUCAUGCGUU